Molecule: ribosomal RNA, 439 nt
Filed under: uncultured bacterium
Lineage: Bacteria
Description: partial 16S ribosomal RNA
Rfam family: Bacterial small subunit ribosomal RNA
Source: RNAcentral
CUACGGGACGCUCCAGUGAGGAAUAUUGCACAAUGGGGGGAACCCUGAUGCAGCAACGCCGCGUGGAGGAUGACGCAUUUCGGUGUGUAAACUCCUUUUAUAUGUCAAGAAAAUGACGGUAGCAUAUGAAUAAGCACCGGCUAACUCCGUGCCAGCAGCCGCGGUAAUACGGAGGGUGCAAGCGUUACUCGGAAUCACUGGGCGUAAAGGACGCGUAGGCGGGUUGGAAAGUCAGGUGUGAAAUCCUACAGCUUAACUGUAGAACUGCACUUGAAACUUCUAAUCUAGAGUAUGGGAGGGGGAGAUGGAAUUAGUGGUGUAGGGGUAAAAUCCGUAGAUAUCACUAGGAAUACCUAAAGCGAAGGCGAUCUCCUGGAACAUUACUGACGCUAAGGCGUGAAAGCGUGGGGAGCAAACAGAAUUAGAUACCCGUGUAGUC